UAUAGAUGGAUCCGCGCUGCAUUAGCUAGUUGGUAAGGUAACGGCUUACCAAGGCAACGAUGCAUAGCCGACCUGAGAGGGUGAUCGGCCACACUGGAACUGAGACACGGUCCAGACUCCUACGGGAGGCAGCAGUAGGGAAUCUUCCGCAAUGGGCGAAAGCCUGACGGAGCAACGCCGCGUGAGUGAUGAAGGUCUUCGGAUCGUAAAACUCUGUUAUUAGGGAAGAACAUAUGUGUAAGUAACUGUGCACAUCUUGACGGUACCUAAUCAGAAAGCCACGGCUAACUACGUGCCAGCAGCCGCGGUAAUACGUAGGUGGCAAGCGUUAUCCGGAAUUAUUGGGCGUAAAGCGCGCGUAGGCGGUUUUUUAAGUCUGAUGUGAAAGCCCACGGCUCAACCGUGGAGGGUCAUUGGAAACUGGAAAACUUGAGUGCAGAAGAGGAAAGUGGAAUUCCAUGUGUAGCGGUGAAAUGCGCAGAGAUAUGGAGGAACACCAGUGGCGAAGGCGACUUUCUGGUCUGUAACUGACGCUGAUGUGCGAAAGCGUGGGGAUCAAACAGGAUUAGAUACCCUGGUAGUCCACGCCGUAAACGAUGAGUGCUAAGUGUUAGGGGGUUUCCGCCCCUUAGUGCUGCAGCUAACGCAUUAAGCACUCCG
Molecule: ribosomal RNA, 660 nt
Filed under: Staphylococcus aureus
Lineage: Bacteria; Bacillati; Bacillota; Bacilli; Caryophanales; Staphylococcaceae
Description: bacterial SSU rRNA
Rfam family: Bacterial small subunit ribosomal RNA
Source: RNAcentral